UACGUAGGGGGCAAGCGUUAUCCGGAUUUACUGGGUGUAAAGGGAGCGUAGACGGCGAUGCAAGCCAGAUGUGAAAGCCCGGGGCUCAACCCCGGGACUGCAUUUGGAACUGUAUAGCUAGAGUGUCGGAGAGGCAGGCGGAAUUCCUAGUGUAGCGGUUAAAUGCGUAGAUAUUAGGAGGAACACCAGUGGCGAAGGCGGCCUGCUGGACGAUGACUGACGUUGAGGCUCGAAAGCGUGGGGAGCAAACAGG
RNAcentral lists this ribosomal RNA (253 nucleotides) under uncultured bacterium. RNAcentral's name for it is "partial 16S ribosomal RNA". It matches the Rfam family "Bacterial small subunit ribosomal RNA", at positions 524 to 776 of the family's 1533-position model. The record is from RNAcentral.